ACACCGUUUGGUGGAUGGCUUGGCUUGAGAAACCGAGGAAGGUCGUGGCAAGCUGCGAUAUGCUCAGGGGAGGCGCACGCAUCCUUUGAUCCUGAGAUUACCUAAUGGGACUUCCUUCAUUCUUCGGAAUGACAUCACUUCGUGAUGGGGAACCCGGUGAACUGAAACAUCUUAGUAACCGGAGGAAAAGAUAUCAAUUGAUAUGCCGUGAGUAAUGGCGAACGAAAGCGGUAUAGGGCAAACCGAAUCCGUGCAGGUGACUGCAUGGAGAUGUGGCUGACUAGUGUACUAGUCUAAAAGUUUUGGCGAAGUUUUUUGGAACAUUAUGCCAAAGAGGGUGAUAGCCCCGUAGUUAAAACUUGAAGAGUAGAUUGCUAGCAUCGAGAGUAGCGUGUUUUGAAAGUAGCGCGUGAAUACAGGGGACAGUAACCUCUAACCCUAAACAUUUCUUAAGACCGAUAGCGAAUUAGUAGCGUGAGUGAAUGCUGAAAAGAUCCCGUACAAGGGAGUGAAAAGAUCCUAAAACCAAGCGGUUACAGUUUGUAGCGGCACUAAGGUGUUGCUACGUUCGUUUUGAAAAAUGAGUCAGCGAGUUCAUUUUUGUGGCGAGGUUAAGCCUUUUAGGUGGAGCCAAAGGGAAACCGAGUGUGAAAGCGCGAUUUAGUCAUAAGGAUGAGACCUGAAGCCCGUCGAGCUAUGCCUGGGCACGGUGAAGUGGCAGUAAAAUGUCGUGGAGGCCGGAAGAGUUGCUACGAGCAAGUGCUCUUAUGACCUGGGUAUAGGAGUGAAAUGCCAAUCGAGAUAGGCGAUAGCUGGUUCCCGCAGAAAUAAGCCGUAGUUUAGUCUGAGUGGAGCAUUCUAUCAGGGUAGAGUACAAAUUGUGCAGUUUGGGGGAGCAAUCCCUCGCUGUAUUGUUUAACUCCGAAUCUAAUAGAUGUGAAGAAGCUCGGAAAAAGUGGGUCGGGUUAAGCCUGAUUCACGAGAGGGGAACAACCCAGAGGGUAGUUAAGGCCCCAAAAUUCUAGUUAAGUGUACUUAAGGUUUUUUGGUCGAAGACACUGAGGAGGUUGGCUUAGAAGCAGCCAUCCUCUAAGGAAAGCGUAACAGCUCACUCAGCGAGAUCUUAGGGACCGUAAAUGGACGGGACUAAAACUAGAUGCCGAUACUGCCCCCCGCUGCGUCAAGCAGCGCCGGAGUAUGCGGGCGGUUUGCAUGGGUAGAAGUGUGUUUGUGAAGAUACAUGGACCGUGUAAUCAUGUGAAUGCUGACAGAAGUAGUAUCUAAGUGAGGUGAGAAUCCUCAUCGUCGAAAGGGCAAGGGUUCCUUGGCGCUAGUCGUUAGCCAAGGGUUAGUCGGUCCUAAGUCUGAAUCCUAACCGAUUUAGACGAAAGGGAAACUGGUUAAUAUUCCAGUACCACAUAAAGGCGUUCGGUAACGAAUGUCUAAUAUGACGCUUUAGGAUAUAUAGAGUAGACUUGUCUGUCUAUCUAAGCGUAUAAGACCAGGGAGUUGUGUCAUGCAGAGAACUGGUUGAAAGCGUGAUGGAUCGCAAGAUUCUAUAGACUUCUAGAGUCCAUGAAAAACUAUUAGAAAGUGUUUAUGUGUCCGUACCCACAACCGGCACAGGUGCCCAGGCUGAGCAAGCCAAGACGUGUGAGACUAAUCGACUCUAGGGAAUUCGGCAAAAUAGCCCUCUGACUUCGGUUGAAGGGGUCCCAGCGGUUGUAACGUAUGUUGCGAUUGCUGGGCUAAGAUAUUAGGUCGGUCCGACUGUUUAAUAAAAACGUAGCCAACUGCUAGACGGGAACGUUGUGUAUAGUUGGUGACUUCUGCCCAGUGCUAGUAUCUGAAAGCGGUUUUCAAGCUGCCUAAGGACUGGUAAACGGCGGGGGUAACUAUGACCCUCUUAAGGUAGCGAAAUACCUUGGCCAUUAAAUGUGGUCGUGCAUGAACGGAGUAACGAGACCGACACUGUCCCAGAGUUGAACCUCAUGAACUUACUUUUCUGGGGAAUGGGCCAGAGACUUCCAUUGGGACGAUAAGACCCCGUAGAGCUUUACUAUAGCUUGUAGCUGUUAUAUUGCUGUGUUUGCACAGUGUAUAGGGGAGGCUUCGAAGCAUUGUUUCCGGACGAUGUGGAGCCGACGAUGUAACACCCUACAGACAUAUUGAUAUGACUUACCUGAAAGGGAACACCUAUAGGCGGAUAGUUUGAGUGGGGCGCUACCCUCCUGAAAAGGUAUCAGGAGGAACCUAAGGUCAGCUCAGCCUGGUUGGAAACCAGGUGUAGAGUUUAAGAGCAAAAGCUGGCUUGACUGAGAUCUGCAAAGCAAAGGUUUCAGACGCGAAAGCGAGGUCUAGAGAACCCCUAUGUCCCUCUUACUGAGGGCUAGGAUUGAUAGAAAAGCUACCUCGGGGAUAAUUGAGUGGUGCCGUGCUAGAGUACAUAUCGACCACGGCGCUUGCGACUUCGUUGUCGGCUCUGCUUAUCCUGGCUGUGCAACAGCAGCCAAGGGUGCGGGAGUUCACCGAUUAAAAAGCACCGUGAGCUGGGUUGAGAACGCUGUGAAGCAGUUUGUUUUAUAUCUAAUGGAAGUGUUGGGAGUCUGAGGAGAAGCUGUCUCUAGUACGAAAGGAACGAGAUGUCCGAGCCUCUGGUGUAUCUGUUGUCCGACAGGGCAGGCAGAGCAGCUACGCUCGAAGUGGAUAACUUCUGAAAGCAUCUAAGAAGGAAGCCACCUGUGAAAAGAGACUCUCUAGGCACUUGUAAAAGACAAGUUUGAUAGGACUGGGAUGUACGCAUUAAGGCAACGAGAUGUUUAGUCCGCAGUUACUAAUAGCCUUAAAGUUUAUCUU
Molecule: ribosomal RNA, 2856 nt
Filed under: marine metagenome
Description: bacterial LSU rRNA
Rfam family: Archaeal large subunit ribosomal RNA
Source: RNAcentral